AAACAAACAAGGAUAAUGUCCACAUUCAUUCCCUUAGGUUCCAAUGUCUGAAGUUUAUGGAUCCAAUAUGUCUAAUGUUGGGCCAGUGUUUUAACCCUGUCACCUCCCCUCCAAUGUGACAAAAUAUGCUCAAUGCCUAUACAUGUGAAUUUGCUAAAUGAAAAAUGAGGACAAGUCAGGCAAUGGACCGGGACAGAAUGAGACAAAAGACCCUUUUUGAUAUUAUUAAUAUGUUCAAGGAUCCGUACUUUCAAAAUUCUUUUUGUACGGCCAACCAGGGACGUUUUAGCCGCGAGGCAAACAAGGCAUUUGCCUUGGGCGGCAAAAAAAGCCGCCCCCAA
Pelobates cultripes (western spadefoot toad) is the source of this 341-nucleotide non-coding RNA. The record is from the annotation of a GenBank genome assembly. NCBI's taxonomy places the organism in Eukaryota, Metazoa, Chordata, Amphibia, Anura, Pelobatidae.